Piptocephalis cylindrospora is the source of this 72-nucleotide non-coding RNA. The record is from the annotation of a GenBank genome assembly. Lineage: Eukaryota; Fungi; Zoopagomycota; Zoopagomycetes; Zoopagales; Piptocephalidaceae.
GGUCCCGUAGUGUAGUGGUUAGCACGCAGGACUUUGAAUCCUGAGACCCGAGUUCAAUUCUCGGCGGGACCA